RNAcentral lists this long non-coding RNA (9683 nucleotides) under Pan troglodytes (chimpanzee). RNAcentral's name for it is "long non-coding RNA NONPTRT011229". Lineage: Eukaryota; Metazoa; Chordata; Mammalia; Primates; Hominidae. The record is from RNAcentral.
CUGCAGCGAGACUCCGAAGAGAGAUUCCGGCUUCGCGGGGCGGCGCGGAGCCCGGAGCUGCCCACCUCCGCCGCCUUGGGAAGGCGGCUGGGAUUAGAAGGACAUCGAUUUUACCGUCUCCCCCAUCGGAGUCCCGGAGGCUGCGCUGCGGUGUGGCAAGUUCAUGGAGGAGCAGGUGCUUCAGUCGCAGGGGAUGACACACUUCCAUGGCCCCCCAUGCCAGAAGAGUUUGUAGUCUCCUCUCAUCACCUUGAAGAGUACUGGUCAAUUAUUUUGUAGAAUGUCCUUCAAAUUGGGUUUGUCUGCUGUUUUCUCCUGAUUCAGCUUAGGGAAAACCACCACAGAUGAUGUGCCACUCACACAGCACCACAUCACAGGUACCUGCUGCCAAUAUGAUGCCACCUUUGAGUUCUUGGUUGGGGCUGUGUCUGCCAGGUUUCUCCACUGUAAAGUAUUGUUCCCUUUGUAAUGAAUAGCUAUUUGGGGGGAGACUUGGCAGAUAUUCUAUUUCUCCUAAUUCUUUCACCUGUUAGAUUUCACCUUGCUGCAUCUGUCAAGGGACUGUGCUUAUAACAAUUAUCAUGGUGAUUUUCUAUUUCCCUUAUUCCUUCUACAUUUAUUAACUGGAAUUUUACAAGGAAGAACUGUUCCUUAUCCCUCACUUAUGCAUUCAUUUAUGUAUUGAUAUCAGCCUAAAUGGAUGGCUAUUUCUUUUCUUUUUUAGGUUGUAAUCCAUUACUGCUGUUGUCUAUCCUGUGGCUCGAACUGCUCCAGCUUUGGCCAAUGCAGCACUUUUUGACGGACAUCUACCCUUCUGAUAUCUGACAGGCUGCCAUCACUCACCUUUCGUUUGCCCUACCCCAACCCUGGAACCAACCCCUUCCCUGAGGAGCCCUUAGGAUCCACCAUCUCAGGCUGGCUCUGGUCACUGAUGCAGGUGUCACUGCUCUAAGGCCCUCUGUCGACAGACUUAGAAAACAGAUGUGUUACACUAACUCACACAUGCAUAGACCCACAUUUCUCUCUCUCUGAAAAAACCAACAGCCCUAGUUCAUGCUGACACCUCCAACCCUGAUCCAGAACCACAGGAUAACUCUAGCACCAUCCUUCCUUAUUUGUAACUUCUUCCUAGAAUACGUACAGUUUUGAGAUUGCUAACCCAUGCCCCUAUGAGAAACAAGUGCACUAACCAGAGGUUUUAUCUUUAGCCUUACAGCAUCCUGUCAAAACACUGUUUUCCAAAGUUACUGAUAGGUCAGCUAAUUCUACAUCCAUUUCACUAUGGUUAUGGCAGCAUUCCCUAACCGUUUUGGCACCAAGGACCAAUUUCUUAGAAGACAGUUUUUCCACAGACUGGGGCGAGGAGGGGGGAUGGUUUCAGGAUGAAACUGUGCCACCUCAGAUCAUCACUCUAACAUCAUAGUUAGAGUCUCAAAAGGAGUGAGUGAGCAACCUAGAUCAUUCACAUGCACAGUUCACAACAGGGUUCAUGCUCCUAUGAGAAUCUAAUGCUGCUGCUGACCUGACAGGAGGCAGAGCUCAGGCAGUAAUGCUUGCCUGCCCUCUGCUCACCUCCUGCUCUGUGGCCCAGGUCCUAACAGGCUACGGACAGGUACCGAUCCGUGGCCUAGGGGUUGGGGACCCCGGAUUAUGGGAUAAGUUUGUAAUACCAUUUGAUUCAUCUGUCACAGUUUGUAUCACUUGGGCACUCCCCCCAGUAACACACACACAAACAUCUUUGUUGAUUUUAGUGAAAUUUUGUGGUGCACAGUUCCAUGGGUUUUGACAGGUGCACAGUCAAAUCUAACACAGUCCCAUCACUCCCCAAACUGCCUCUCACUCUCUUUGUAAUCAACUCCUUUUCCCCAACUCUUAACCCCUGGCAACCACUGAUUUGUUCUUCUUCCUUAUGGUUGUGCUUUUUCUAGAGCAUCCUUUAAAUAGAAUCAUACAAUAUGGAGGCCUUUUAGGUUUGGUUUCUUUCACUAAACAAAAUGAAUUUAAGAUUCAUCCAUGUUGUGGGAAUUAAUAGUUUGUUCCUUUUGACUUUUGAGUGGUAUUCUGCUGUAGAGAUGUUACCACAAUUUGUUUAUUCAUUCACCAGUUGAAGGAUAUCUGAUUUUGAGUGUUGGCAAUUACUGAAUAAAACUCUAUUAACAGUCACAUGCAGGUUUUGUGUGAGCAUGAAUUUUCACUUACCUUGGGUAAGCACCUAGGAGUGAGACUGCCAGGUCCUAAGGCAGUGUAACACAGUAAGAAGCUGCCACACUGUUUUCCAGAGUGGCUGUGCCAUUCUGCAUUCCCAGUAGCAGGGUUGGAGAGCAUAUUCCUGCCAGCACUUGGCACUGUCCUUGCCAGCACUGGGAUGCUUCGUGAUUGUUCUUUCAUCUUAGCUACUGAUGUAGGCCUGUGCUGGUACCUUAUGAAGAAGGUGCACAGCCUUCCAAAUCACCUAGGCCCACUGUGGCAGUCUCAUUCCCCAGAACAUACUGUUAUAUCUCUAGCUGGUCAGCUGCUUGCCCCAAAUGGUACUGUGGCCUUAGGCUAGGUGCAGUGUUUACCUUCCGGAUUGCUUGCAUUUGUUUCCCUAACAAUAAAUUAUGUUGGGCAUCACAGGCUUAUUUUUCUCUGCUUAUUUGCAUGGGCUUCUCUGCAAUCCAUGCAAGUUGUUUGGUGAAGUACAGGUUCACCAAAACUAUUCCCCAAUUUUUUACUGGGUUGUUUUCUUAUUGUUGAGUUUUAAGUGUUCUUUAUUAUUCUGGAUACUAACCCUUUGUCAGAUAUGUGACUUACAAAUGUGUUCUCUGAGAGUAGAAUUUUAAAAUUUUGAUAAAAUGCAAAUUAUAGAUUUUUUUCUUUUAUGGAUUGUGCUUUUGGUAUCAUAUCUAAAAACUCUGCCCAAGAUCAUGCAGACUUUCCUUUGGGUUUCUUCCAUAAGUUCUACAGUUUUACAUUCUACAUUUAGGUAUAUGAUCCAUUUUGAGUUCAUUUUUGUAUAAAAUGUGAGCUGUACAGGUUAUUUAUUUAUUUAUUUUUGCAUAUACACUCUAGUUUUCUAGUCCAUUUGUUGACAAGAUUACACUUUCUCCAUGGAAUAUAUUAAGAGGUGCCUUUACACCAGUCAAAAAUAAACCAACCAUAUCUGUAUGGACUUAUCUGGGGUCCUCUGUUCUGUUCCACUGACCUGUGUAUCUAUCUUUUCACCAAUACCACAUACCACUUUUUUGAUUGUGGUGAUUUUACAUUUUAUAGUAAAUCUUGUUCUUUUUUCUUUUUCAGAUGGAGUUUUGCUCUUGUUGCCCAGGCUAGAGUGCAAUGACAGGAUUUUUGCUCACCGCAACCUCCACCUCCCAGGUUCAAGUGAUUUUCCUGACUCAGCUUCCUGAGUAGCUGGGAUUACAGGCACCUGUCACCAUGCCCGGCUAAUUUUUUUUUUUUUUUUUUUUUUUUUUUUUUUUUUUUUUUUUUUUGUAUUUUUAGUAGAGACAGGUUUUCACCAUGUUGGCCGGGCUGGUCUUGAACUCCUGACCUCAGGUGAUCUGCCCGCCUUGGCCUCCCAAAGUGUUGGGAUUACAGGCCUGAGCCACCACGCCCAGCCGUUGCUCUGCCUUUCUAAUGAUGACUUUAGGUAUCAGUUUUUAAUAUAAAGUUUAUCUUUUUUUUCUUUCACAGCUUGUGGUUUUUGUGUGGUAAGCAAUCUGCCUACUUUACAUUGUGAAAAUAUUGUUUUCUUCUUAAAACUUUACAGUUUUAGCCUUUUACAGUUCAUUCUACAAUCCAUCUAAAAUUAAUGCUAUGUCCACAGUAAGAGUGAGUAGUAGAGUUUCAUUUUUCCUUGCAUGUUUAUCCAGUUGAAAAAAUCUUUCCCUUCCCAAUUGAACUAUGUUGGUUGAAAAAACUUUGAUUUCUCCUGUUGUUGCACUGUGCAUCCUAGUGUUUUGUAAAUUAACUAUUCUUAUCUUCUUAGUUUUUUAUAAGUGUAAACAGGGGAAAUAUAAUUAUAAUUUCUUUUAAAAGAGCUCUCUUACUUAAUAAAGAAACAGGCUGGGCAUGGUGGCUCACGCAUGUAAUCCCAGCACUUUGGGAGGCUGAGGCGGGUGCAUCACCUGAGGUCAGGAGAUCAAGACCAUUCUGGUCAAUAUGCCAAAACCCUGUUUCUACUAAAAAUACAAAAAUUAGCCAGGUGUGGUGGUGGGUGCCUGUAGUCCCAGCUGCUCAGGAGGCUGAGGCAGGAGAAUUGCUUGAACCCAGGAGGCACAGGUUGCAGUGAGCCGAGAUCACGCCACUGCACUCCAGCCUGGGUGACAGAGCAAGACUCCAUCUUGAAAAAAAAGAACAAACGAACGAACAAAAGAAAGGACAGGAAAGGGAAAGGAAAAGAAAUAAAAUGUCUAAUGUUUUUUGCCCACCAAACUAGUUAAAGUAAUUACAAAGACAAGGCUGCUGUAAACACCUUGUGCACUGUCCCCAAAACGCAGAUGGCAUGGGAGCAGACAGCACCUUUAGAUGAAGACACACAUGCAGCCUACACAAGGCACACAGAUGCAUUUCAGCCAUUAUUCCCUCAUGAUGAAACCCUCCCCUUGUGCAGUGUGUAACCUGAACUGACACACACACAUCUUGGGUGAAGUGUGAAGUAAUGGGAAUCUGUGUACACUACUAUUCAGAGUAUAAACUGGUGCAAAAUUACAGAAGGUAAUGCGGCAAUACUACAAUUUUAAAUAUAUAAUUCUAUUAGGAACUUAGAUUUCAUAAAUAUUCACACAAGUAUGCAAAGAGAUAUUCACAGAUGACCCAUGCUAUACUACCAGAAAUAAUGAAAAGUGGGAAAUAGCCAAAAUGAUGUCAGUGGAAGCUUGGACAAAUAAGUUAUGGUAUACCUAAACAAUGAAAUGCCAUCAUUAAAAUGAAUGAGGAACUCAAUGCACACUGACAUGGAACAACUUCCAGGAAAUACAAGUGGAGGAAAAGGAUGAACAUGCAAUGCAUUAGGAGAACAUGCUGACACCACCUCACUGGAAAGGGAAAGAGGUGCAUGACCUGUGACACUGUGGUUCUGUUCCUAGGCACAGACCCAAGGACCCUGUGCAAGGCAAUGCAGAUUUAGAUGCUAUUUCAGUUAAUGGAACUCUACCUUCCAGCUGCUCAGGCCAAAGUCUUAGUCUCACCCCUCGACCCUCUUACUGCACCAUACACAUUCCAUGUGUCAGUUCCACCUGCAGAAUACACCCAGGAUUUGAGCCCUUCCUCAUCCACCACCUCCUUUCUCUCCAAGCCAUGAUCAUUUCCCAUGGGGGUUAACCCAAGCCUCUUAAGAACUGGUCCACUUGCUUCUGUCCUGCCUCUUGGAAGUCUGUUCUUAACACAGUAGCCAGAAUAAUCCUGUUAAAGCAUAGGCCUGAACAAAUCACUCCUCUGCUCAAAACCCUGACUCCCUACUUCACUCAGAAAAGCCCAAGUCCUUACUAUGACAACAGGUACUUCACAGCUGGGACCCAGUCAGGCUGGGAUCUUGUCUCCUACCGGCCCCGCUUCUGGGCUCCCCUUAUCCAUGCUGGAACCCUGCUGUCCCUGAAUAUGCCAGAUGAUGUACUCCUGCCUUGAGGUCUUUGCACUUUUUCUUUCCCUGCCGGGGAGGCCCUGCCCUCAGACAUCCAUUCAUCCUGCUCUCAUUGCCUAAGGUUUGCUUCCACAGAUGGCUUCUUAGAGGCCACUCUCUGUAGAUCUUCCUCUAACACCACCCAUCCUUAGCAUUUCUUAUCUCCCACAUACUAUCACAAUUACUACACUGCGGAACUCAUCUUGUCCACUGCCUAUCUGUUUCACCAGAAUGCAAGCUCCAUCAGACAUGGGUUUUCAUGUUUCAUUUAUUGCUGUAUCCUGACACCAUAGCACAUAGUAAAUCCUUAAUAUAUUGUGGACUAAACAGGUGUAACAAUAUGUGUAAUAAUAAGACGAGAGACAUCUCUAAGUCUGGCUCCUGGGUAGAUUUUAUCUACCCAACAAAGGAGUAGAGGUAGGACUCCGGCCCAUGCCAUUUCCAAGGAAACCCUUUCUGGAGGGGUGGGGAAAGCUGUGUCCUUCCCAUCAAGAGCAAAGAAAAGCCACUACCACUUAUGUAGGAAAAAUCCCUAUGACUCUACCCCUGGGGGUAAUCAACAGGCAAAGGGCAACACACUUACUGUUCCCUGUGAGAUAAUUAACAAAAAUAAGCCUCUGUUCAGAAUAUCUCAGGUGUUCUGGACAAAAAAUAAAGAUUCAGGAUAAAGUUAAUGAAGAUGAAAAUUUUAAAUCAACUUAAGGUUCUGAGAAAAAGUCUGAUGGCUCUGGAUUUCCUGGUGACACAAGAGAUCCGGUUGUUUUGAAAAGAUGGAGAAGGAGUAUGUAGGGAGCCGAACAUCAGAGGAGAGUGAAGGAGUUUGAAAUAUUGAUAACACAAAGAGGAGUAGAGCAGGCCAACCAAGCAAACACAGUGGGGCUGUGGGCCGCAUGGGGGCCCUACAGGCACAUAGCAGAUGACCAAGAAACAUCAGUUUACAGAAUGAGUGGAAGAAUAAAUGAGUGAGCAAGUGAAAAGAGCAAAUAAAUGAGUGGGUGAACAAGGAGGAGCAAGCAAUGGGAGAAUAAAUUCAGAAGAAAGCAAGUGAGUGAAUUGAUGAUGUCCCCACUGUGUUCCCUGGUGUGAAUCUUCUUUCUUAUAUUUCUUAGCUGCUCAUGUGUUGGUUCAUUUAGGGUUGGGAAUAUGCCAUUUGAGUGUGUUUUUUAAAAAAAGACUGGGAUGGAGUUUAGGGUAACGGCAAGAGUGUUACUGAAACAAUGGAUCAUGGAAUAUAAGCUGGACAAAAGGAGACAUGAUAAAAAGAAGGUUGAUAGGAUAGAAAAAAUAAGGCAGCGGUUGAGGUGGUAGUCAGGAAAUCUGGAAGGUGAGAAGAUUAUGCUUAAGGACUGGGAUGCCCGAAUUCAUGAGUCUGGACCAUGGGAGUUGGUGGCUGAGACAGAGAAGAGAAGAGGAGAGGAGAGAAGGAGAUCCUAGGAACAAAGAGGACAGUACUAAGGCCAGAGGCUGUGAGUCCCACAGGUGGACACUGAAACCACCAGGCAACAGCAGGGACUGGGGUGGAGAAAAUGACCACGAUUCUUUGCAGACUCUGACAUCUGGUGAGCGUGACUAUGCAGGAGGUGACUGUGCAGAAAAGGAUCUGAGCUAGAAAAGGGGAACUUCACCCUUCAUGUUCUAUGCUUCAGGACUGCAUGAAUUUUCUGUUGUUUUUCAUUUACAAAGAGCACAUGUUGGUUUAUAAUUGACAAAACCCACAAAUUUGGGGAAGAGAUAAUAUUAAAGUCAGAGAAAAGAGUUUACAAUCCAGAGAAAAUCAUUAAUUUAAGAAGCACUAACAAAUACUGCUUGAAACAGUGCUGAGUCCGACACUGAAAUUAAUUUUCUUUUUCUUUCCAGUCACUAAAGAAAGGGUAUCAGGAAGGCCAUCUGGAUUUUUGCUGAAACCUGUAACAAUACUCUAAAGAUCCUAAGGGGAAAAUGCCAAUGUGCUAACAAGGAUAUUUACUUAAAUGGAUACAGGAUGUCUCCUCUCCAAGGUACAGUGGCUUUCGAGCCCAGUACACACUUCAAGGGCUAGAAGGAUCCCCUGAAUUCUCUAUCCCUCAUGGUAACCAGAGACUAUGUUCACAUUCUCAUAAGGGAACCAAAAAUGUAGCUUCUUCUAUCUUGUUUCCUUGGGGGAUGCACAAUUUAAAAAUGCUUUUUAUAGAAUUCCAUUAUCUUGGGAUAUCCUGGGAACUACUAGAGUUGAAGAUAAUUUUGGUAGAACCUUAAAAUACGAUGGCCCCCAUUGCUAAGCCCACUGAGAACCAAAUUACCAAAGUAAGUGUUAAGACAUUCAAAUUUGAAUAGAAAAUAUAAUGUUUUAUGAGGUAUAAAAAAAUGCAAUAAAAAAGAUUUAGAAAAUUCAAUGCAAAGAACCCAGAAGCAUCUCUGCCAAGACUGAGCUGAAUGCGUUGUUUGACUACACACUCCCUUGUCAAAUGUCAACUUCAUAAAAGACAAGGAACAACUUCUUAUAUAUCCUCAACAGUGCCUAUACUUAUACUGAAAUAACUAUAGGCAAUUACAGUGCCCAUAAUAACACUGAAAUCCGAUGGAAAAAGUUAGAAAUUCUUAAAGAUAUAUAGUAUCUAGACACUCUUCUUCAAUAUCUUUCCUUUAUAGGAAUCACACAAUUUCUGUCGUCAAACAUAAAACUGAGUGGCAGAAACACUAUGCUGGAGAGAAGACCCAGCCAGAUUAUUUACUUACACCAUUUCCCCAGCUGAACCCUCAGAGUCCUUCUCAGGGCCACCCUUUUGGCUAGUCCAAUCAAUCUGUGACUCAGUCUUUUACUGAUCCUGACCCUCUGUCCAGCUGUGCAGACAUCACCAUAGGCAGCACUCAACAUUUCUCACCUGUCUACUGAAACCCUUAACUGGCUGUCCUCUCUUCAAUCUGGACCCCAGCUGAUCUACCUUCUAUUCUGAAUCAACAGCCUAAUAAAAGGCUUCCUUAGGUCAGGGUUAAGAUGAAUCCUCUGUCCAUCAAACUAUGUUUAAACCUCAGUAAUAUCAUGAAUGUUGCUUGAAAGAGCAGCUUAAUCAAGGAUUCAGAGUAUGAACUGGCUGGCUUCCCCCAGAUCAACCACGUUGAAUUGCUUAAUUUCUUCCCUAUGUUCUCUAAACUUUGAAUACUAAAAUGAGUUGAAAAGUAAGCAGAAGGAUACUAAAGGCCUAUUUUCCCGCACGUUCACAAAAAAGAAAAUUAACAAAGUUACGUAGAAUCUUGAUUACCUAAAUUAUUUUUACUAUAGUUCUUUUUCUAAGCUUUGAAAGCCCACCUUAAAUCAAAGAAUUAGGGGUACUGUGUUUCUCAAAGACAUGUGGGGGAAAGAGAAGGUCAUUUAUAUAGUGAUUUUAAAUGGUGAUUACAUAUGGUCUUAUCUUUUUAAAAUCAAUUUUAGGUUCAAAGUUAAGUGGUUUUUCCUUCCAGAGAAAGGAUAUAUUAAACAUCUGCUGCAGUUUCAGGUCACCAACAGCCUCUACCCACAGGUUUGGAUUUGCAUUUUUGUAGGAACGGACAGAAGUCCGAGGAAGAUGAACGAAAGAUGAACGAAAUGGCAGAGUAGGAAGCCGGGGCGGUCCCAGUACUGCAAAGCAACUAGGUGGGGUAAAAGGUGGUGCUGACUAGUUCUCGCUCACCGUGCCCCACAGAAGGUAGCCAGGGUUGCUGUCAUAAAACCUUUUUGUGCAGGGAUGCUUGUGUUAGCAGCCAUUGAUUCAAAGGGGCGGAUCUGUAGGUAAGUUUGGGGGAAGGGGAAAGGGAGACAGAAGGGUAGCCAGUUAUGCAAAGAAAACAUAUCUCGACUGUAUUCUCUAAUUUUAUGUGUGCAGUGCAAAAAAAACCAAUUCUCAGACAUUUAAAAUGUGUUUGAGAUGAUGGGAAAAAGAAUACAUGAGGGAAAAAAACAAAUUCCCACAAAUUCCUCACCGCAGAUGCAGCAGUAACACUGUACUUCAAGCAUUACAGCUUUUUUUAAAUUGACAUUCUGUAAUAUAUCUCCCCAUCCUAAAAUCCACAUUUAAUAGUGGCUAUUGGGAGUAAAUGUGAGACACCUAACAUUUCUAGAUACAGCCAA